CCCAGGCUGGAGUACAUUGGCAUGAUCAUGGCUUACUGCAGCCUUGACCUGGGCUUACUUGAUUCUCUUACCUCAGACUCUUGUGUAGGUCAAACUAUAGGCAUUCACCAUCACAUCUAAGUUUUUUUUAGGUAUUUAUUCACUCUGUGGUCCAGGCUGGUCCCAAACUCCUGGGUUCAAGAGAUCUACUUGCCUUGGCCUUCCAAAGUGUUGACAUUACAGUCAUGAGCCACUGCACCCAGAUGCAUUUCUGUAUAGAUUUUAAGUGUAGUCCGUUUCUUCCAGAAAGUGUGGUGGGGGGUGAAUUGGGAUUGUGUUCAAUCUGUAUAUCCAUUGAGAAUUGACAUAUUAAAAAUAUUUAGUAUUCCAGAUCGUGAACACGGUAUAUCUGUCUAUUUAGGUCUUCUUUUAUUUCUGUCAACAAUAUAACUUUAGUUUAUAAAUCUUCUGUCAAAUUUAUCCCUGAGUGUUUUAUAUUUUUUGAUGCUAUUGUGAAAUGAUACCAGUUUAAAAUUACAGUUUCCAGUAUUACUGGUAUAUAUUGAUCUUGAUUCCUAUAACUUUGCUGAAAUCACUUACUAGUUCUAGAAUUUUUUUUCUUUUUUGGUAGAUUCUUUUGGAUUUUUAAGUUGUGGAACUUAUCACCUGGGAAUAAAAAAGGCAGUUUUACUUCUUUCCAAUGCAGAUGACUUUUUUGUUUUUUUUUUCUUGCCAUAUUGGAUGGAAGGGAACCUUAAGUAUAGGGCGAGAGUGAACAUCCUUGUCUUGUUCCUGUUUUUGAGGGAAAGUAUACAGUCUUUCAUUAUUAUGUAAAUAUUAGCUGUAGGUUUUUUGUAGAUACCCUUUAUUGGUUUGAGGAAAUUUUCUUUGGUUUGCUGUUUUUACCAGGAGUAGAUGUUGGAUUUUGUCAAAUGCUUUUUGUGGGUCUGAUCGAGAUAAUCACACAAUUUUAAUAUAGUGAAUUACAUGACUUGAAUUUUCAAAUAUUAAAGUGGUCUUGUAUUUCUGGGUUAAAUCACAUUUUGGUCAUGCAAUAUUAUUUUUUUAACCCUUUUUGCAUUUAGAAAAAAAGCUGCAGCUUGCUGCCAGUUCUCAUGUAAUUUCACAUAAACACACUCUUUGAGGCUGAAGCAAAUCUGAUUUUCAGUGUGAAAAUAAAAUAUAAAAACUGUUCUUGGAGUUAUUUCUAAACAGAACUAACAUCAGAAUCAUCUGACUCAUCAGAAUCAUCUGUUUUGGAAAAUUCAGAUUCAUCAAAUUAGUCUUCGGCCAACUGAGAACAAUGUUAACAUCACCUUUAGGAAUGUUAUGCAGGCCAAGAAUAAAAUCUUUAUGAACUAACAAGAUGAAUUAAAGAUGGAAUGAUUCAUUUCUAUGGUUAGGUUUUAAUUAAUACAUGGGGGAUGAUUUUGGCACUUUUUCAAAGAAUUUGUUUCUGUGUAUCUGAAUUUGCACCUACUCUGUAACCUAACUGCGAUUUAUAAAAUGAAACAAUCUCUUCUAAUUUGGCACUUGAUAGGUGCUUUGACUUUAAAAGGCAAGUGUAUUUUUCUGUCACGAAUAUCUUGUCAUUCUAAAAUAAGUAAAAACAAUGGAUUGAUGAAACUU
Molecule: long non-coding RNA, 1608 nt
Filed under: Homo sapiens (human)
Lineage: Eukaryota; Metazoa; Chordata; Mammalia; Primates; Hominidae
Description: HSALNT0351873
Source: RNAcentral